RNAcentral lists this ribosomal RNA (321 nucleotides) under uncultured bacterium. RNAcentral's name for it is "bacterial SSU rRNA". It matches the Rfam family "Bacterial small subunit ribosomal RNA", at positions 29 to 369 of the family's 1533-position model. The record is from RNAcentral.
AAUGAACGUUGGCGGCGUGGAUUAGGCAUGCAAGUCGCGCGACAAGGAACCUUCGGGUUCUGGAGGAGCGGCAAACGGGGUAGUAAGGCAUCGGAACGUACCCUCUUGUUGGGAAUAGCCGCGGGAAACUGCGAGUAAUGCCCAAUAAUCCCUACGGGGCAAAGGUCCGCCGCAGGAGGAGCGGCCGAUGUGAUACCAGCUAGUGGUGAGGUAAUGGCUCACCAAGGCUUAGACGUCUAGGGGGUGUGAGAGCAUGGCCCCCACACUGGGACUGAGAUACUGCCCAGACACCUACGGGUGCUGCAGUCGAGAAUCUUCGGC